This 497-nucleotide ribosomal RNA is filed under the name uncultured bacterium. RNAcentral's name for it is "partial 16S ribosomal RNA". It matches the Rfam family "Bacterial small subunit ribosomal RNA", at positions 28 to 507 of the family's 1533-position model. The record is from RNAcentral.
GACGAACGCUGGCGGCGUGCCUAAUACAUGCAAGUAGAACGGUGAAGCGAGGAGCUUGCUCUGCUUGGAUGAGUUGCGAACGGGUGAGUAACGCGUAGAUAAUCUGCCUUGUAGCGGGGGAUAACUAUUGGAAACGAUAGCUAAUACCGCAUAACAACUGAUGACACAUGUCGUUUAUUUGAAAUGGGUAAUUGCUCUACUACAAGAUGGACCUGCGUUGUAUUAGCUAGUAGGUGAGGUAAAGGCUCACCUAGGCGACGAAACAUAGCCGACCUGAAAGGGUGGACGGCCAACCUGGGACCGGGACCAGGCCCAGAAUGCCUCGGGUAGGAGCCGUAGGGGAACUUCGGGCAUGGGGGGAAAGCUGAACGCAGAACGCCGCGGGAGUGGAGAAGGUUUUCGGGUCGGAAAGCUCUGUUGUAAGUGAAGAAAGAGUGUGAGAGUGGAAAGUUCACGCUGUGACGGUAGCUAACCAGAAAGCAACGGCUAACUACGUG